This is a long non-coding RNA of Danio aesculapii, 1499 nucleotides long. RefSeq lists it as uncharacterized. The transcript is spliced from 2 exons. NCBI's taxonomy places the organism in Eukaryota, Metazoa, Chordata, Actinopteri, Cypriniformes, Danionidae. The record is from RefSeq and is a predicted model, not a curated record.
UAAAAGAAAAAUUGCCACUACAAUUUGGUGUCAGAAGUGGGAUGUCUUGGAGAAACUUUUCCGGACCCUGCGGACGGUGACUGAUCAUCCUGAAACUUCGUGUCACAGCCCUGCCCCACUCGGUUGAGGGUUGAGGGGCCGACCGCCGGGCUCGGAGAGGAACCCCACUGACAUCUGGGAAAAAGAACUCAAGUGGCAUCUGAACUCUCUGGUAAAGGCCGCACAGGGGAAGGCUGCAGAGAAACCACUGCACAGUUUGAGGCCUGGCGAUUUCGUGGUAGUUCGAGAUCUAAGGAGAAAGAGCUGGAGAGCGAAGCGUUGGUUGGGUCCAUUCCAAGUGCUACUGACCACGGAAACAGCGGUGAAAGUCGCAGAGCGGGCAACGUGGGUGCAUGCUGGACACUGCAGGAAGAUCCCAUCACCUGAAGAGGAAACAGCUAAGGAGUAGGAGAGAAAGGGAGGCUCUGAAACUGUCUGAGAGAAAACAGCAGGCUGUUAUCUGAGUGAAGCAAGGACACAGCUGCGGAGAAACAACAACAUAAGUCAAGAGAUGUGUGUGAGACAGUAACUCCUGAGUUCAACACCAACACAGGCACAGAGCAACGAAAGAGAAGAGUGUAAAUGUGAUCUAUGUUUAAGAGUAUAGUAACAACAACGUGUUCAUAUGUUGUAAAUGUUAUUAAUGAUGAAUUAAUGAUGUAGAGUAUUAGUGAUUUCUAACUGAUUGAAGAAAUGUUUUGCAGGAUUUAUUAGGUGUAUGAAACAAUAAUAAUGUAAAAUUAACAGGCAAAUUCUGUGAUUUGAACCUCUGUGGGUGACUGAGGGUCUGAUUUCAGUCAGGAGCGCAAUAACAGUGAUUAUUCGUUUAGCCCGGCUCCCAGGGAAGAGGGAUGUUUUGGAAAGUAAAUCUUAAUGGGGAAACUAUAUUAAGAAGAAUGUUUGAACAUCUCUAGUGUAUAUGAUGUGUGCAGAAACCUGUUAAAUGAUUAACAACAUGAUUAUAAACAGUAUGAUUUUAGAAACUAACAGAAAAUGAAUUUAGUGUUGUGUUAUCAAUGAAUGAUAAAAAGAGAGGAAUUGUAAUGGAAAUUCAUUUAUAUUCACCUUUUAGAUGUGAAUGCAUUUUCUACAUUGCUCAAUUUUACUGUGCAUGACUACUCUGUUUUUUUUAAUCUUACACUCCUAUUGUGUAAUGUUGUUUGUUUCCUUGUUUUGUAAGGGGCAUGGGUCAGAAAGGUUGAGACACCUAACGUAAACAUGAUAUGGCCUGAUUAGAAGACAAACCUGAAGCAGUAAACAAGAAUCCAAAUACAGGGGAAAGAUAACUAUAAUCCAUGAUGCAUGUGCCUAGCGCAUGACUUUAGUGACCUCGUAAGCAGUACAGGGGAGAAACCAGAUAAAAGAGAGAGCACACUCUGUUUUCAGUGUCUCACUCUGCAGAAACUGUCGUUGCUGUAUGAUUGUGACCUUCUUUGCAAAGAAUAAAACUUUAAAAGACA